Molecule: long non-coding RNA, 662 nt
Organism: Syngnathus typhle (broad-nosed pipefish)
Lineage: Eukaryota; Metazoa; Chordata; Actinopteri; Syngnathiformes; Syngnathidae
Exons: 2
Source: RefSeq, a predicted model, not a curated record
CGGCUGCGCGUGAACAACAACACUAUCACUCUCGAGAGUGGCGGCGUGGCAUUUCUGCUAUGCGUGGCGGCUAAUGGGCUUGAAUAAUUGGACUGUGUGAGCAAACGCUUCCAGGCCUGAAAGUGGCCCGCUCUUGUUUGGUGUCCCAACUUCAACCGUCAGCAGCGUGAGAGAAGCUGAAGCAGCCAAUGACAGCAAAUGUAGUGCAUUAAGACUUGACCUUCUACUUCUUGCUUUGACUACCCGGACGGAGCCCUCAGGCAUGCACUCGAAAGUCUUCUCCUUCCACACAGACAACACUAACCGGCGCUGGAGAGGAGAUGCAGCGUCAUUCUCAACCCAAAUCAGGUUUUAUCUGGAUAUCUUGGACAGGGAGGCCCACAGGAGUUGCAACGCUGCUGUUGUUGCAAAACCGGACGGACGGUCUGGAAACGAGUUACAGCGAGAGAGGGAGAGGGGGGGCGACACGGGACCCGAGCCAGUCAAUCAGGCUGCUGAGGGCUGGCGGCGGAGGAGGGGGGAAGGGAAAGAACCCCCACAGGAUGGCAUCAAGCAACAUGGGCCCACCAUUCCAUAGAAAGCCACAACUGUGUCAAGCGUGCAGAUUAUUAGGCACGCCUGGCCCAUGCCACGCUAGCUAAUAAAGAAUCUGUAUACCAAAA